RNAcentral lists this ribosomal RNA (432 nucleotides) under uncultured bacterium. Its description in RNAcentral is "partial 16S ribosomal RNA". It matches the Rfam family "Bacterial small subunit ribosomal RNA", at positions 29 to 506 of the family's 1533-position model. The record is from RNAcentral.
AACGAACGCUGGCGGCAUGCCUAACACUUGCAAGUCGAACGAGACCUUCGGGUCUAGUGGCGCACGGGUGCGUAACGCGUGGGAACCUGCCUUUAGGUUCGGAAUAACUCAGAGAAAUUUGAGCUAAUACCGGAUGAUGUCUUCGGACCAAAGAUUUAUCGCCUUUAGAUGGGCCCGCGUUGGAUUAGCUAGUUGGUGGGGUAAAGGCCUACCAAGGCGACGAUCCAUAGCUGGUCUGAGAGGAUGAUCAGCCACACUGGGACUGAGACACGGCCCAGACUCCUACGGGAGGCAGCAGUGGGGAAUAUUGGACAAUGGGCGAAAGCCUGAUCCAGCAAUGCCGCGUGAGUGAUGAAGGCCUUAGGGUUGUAAAGCUCUUUUACCCGAGAUGAUAAUGACAGUAUCGGGAGAAUAAGCUCCGGCUAACUCCGU